GGCUCAGGAUGAACGCUAGCGACAGGCCUAACACAUGCAAGUCGAGGGCAGCGCGGGAAAGCUUGCUUUCNGGCGGCGACCGGCGCACGGGUGACGUAACAGGUGUGCAAUCUGUCCAUAAUCGGGGAAUAGCCCAGCGAAAGUUGGAUUAAUUCCCCAUAAUACUUUGGGAGGCAUCUCCUGAAGUUGAAAGUUCCGGCGGUUUAGGAUGGACAUGCGUUGUAUUAGAUAGUUGGUGAGGUAACGGCUCACCAAGUCGACGAUACAUAGGGGGACUGAGAGGUUAACCCCCCACAUUGGUACUGAGACACGGACCAAACUCCUACGGGAGGCAGCAGUGAGGAAUAUUGGUCAAUGGACGCAAGUCUGAACCAGCCAUGCCGCGUGCAGGAUGACGGCUCUACGAGUUGUAAACUGCUUUUGUAUGAGGGUAAACUUAGAUACGUGUAUCUAACUGAAAGUAUCAUACGAAUAAGGAUCGGCUAACUCCGUG
This 493-nucleotide ribosomal RNA is filed under the name uncultured bacterium. Its description in RNAcentral is "bacterial SSU rRNA". It matches the Rfam family "Bacterial small subunit ribosomal RNA", at positions 21 to 507 of the family's 1533-position model. The record is from RNAcentral.